GAUGAACGCUGGCGGCGUGCUUAACACAUGCAAGUCGAACGGGAAUUAUUUUAUUGAAACUUCGGUCGAUUUAAUUUAAUUCUAGUGGCGGACGGGUGAGUAACGCGUGGGUAACCUGCCUUAUACAGGGGGAUAACAGUCAGAAAUGGCUGCUAAUACCGCAUAAGCGCACAGAGCCGCAUGGCUCAGUGUGAAAAACUCCGGUGGUAUAAGAUGGACCCGCGUUGGAUUAGCUGGUUGGUGGGGUAACGGCCCACCAAGGCGACGAUCCAUAGCCGGCCUGAGAGGGUGAACGGCCACAUUGGGACUGAGACACGGCCCAGACUCCUACGGGAGGCAGCAGUGGGGAAUAUUGCACAAUGGGGGAAACCCUGAUGCAGCGACGCCGCGUGAAGGAAGAAGUAUCUCGGUAUGUAAACUUCUAUCAGCAGGGAAGAUAGUGACGGUACCUGACUAAGAAGCCCCGGCUAACUACGUG
This 478-nucleotide ribosomal RNA is filed under the name uncultured bacterium. RNAcentral's name for it is "partial 16S ribosomal RNA". It matches the Rfam family "Bacterial small subunit ribosomal RNA", at positions 28 to 507 of the family's 1533-position model. The record is from RNAcentral.